Molecule: ribosomal RNA, 497 nt
Filed under: uncultured bacterium
Lineage: Bacteria
Description: partial 16S ribosomal RNA
Rfam family: Bacterial small subunit ribosomal RNA
Source: RNAcentral
GGGGGGGGGGGGGGGGGGGGGGGGUAGGGGGGGGGGGGGGGAACAGGGGAGGAGCUGGGUCCUCGGACGGUAGCGGCGGACGGGGGAGGAGCACGUGGGUAACCGACCGAUGAGACUGGGAUAAGGUCGGGAAACCGGAUCUAAUACCGGAUCAUAUAUUGAACCGCAUGGUUCACUAUUGGCAGACGGUUUUGCUGUCACUUAUAGAUCGAUCCGCGCAGCCUUAGCUAGUUGGUAAGGUAACGGCUUACCAAGGCAACGAUGCGUAGCCGACCUGAGAGGGUGAUCGGCCACACUGGAAUUGAGACACGGUCCAGACUCCUACGGGAGGCAGCAGUAGGGAAUCUUCCGCAAUGGGCGAAAGCCUGACGGAGCAACGCCGCGUGAGUGAUGAAGGUCUUCGGAUCGUAAAACUCUGUUAUUAGGGAAGAACAAAUGUGUAAGUAACUAUGCACGUCUUGACGGUACCUAAUCAGAAAGCCACGGCUAACUACGUG